UUCUAAGCCUUGGUGUCCCCUCUGUAGAAAGGGGUUAAUAUGAAGACCUGUCUUCAGGGCUAUUGGAAUAGCAUCGUGUAGAACGUGCUUACUCAUCGGUCACUGUUAUCGUUAGCACCGUACGUGUGAGUCUCCUCUAACCUAAACAUAAAACUCUGGUCUUUUUCCCUCACUGUGCCAGCCAAAGGGAAUGUACUCUUCACCACCCAUCAGUUUGGAGCUGCGGCUUCUUUUUGUCCAGGAGUCUGCUUGGUGCUUGCGGCUGAGUUCCUCCAACGUCCUUGUCAACACGGCCUCCUGACAGUGGUUCUCUCCAGAAACCAAGUGCACUGGCGUUCUGCUGUCUUUUUCUUAUUAACCAUGAAAUCAGAGAAUGUUUCAGCAGUUCAUAUCAUGUUGGUAUUUUGUCUUUAAAAGUGAUGCUUUUUUUUUUUUUUUUUUUGAGAUAGACUUUCGCUCUUGUUGCCCAGGCUGGAAUGCAAUGGGGUGAUCUCCGCUCACCGCAACCUCUGCCUCCCGGGUUCAAGUGAUUCUCCUGCCUCAGCCUCCCUAGUAGCUGGGAUUACAGGUGCAUGCCACAGUGCUCAUCUAAUUUUGUAUUUUUAGUAGAGAUUGGGUUUCUCCAUGUUGGCCAGGCUGGUCUCGAACUCCUGACCUCAGGUGACGCGCCUGCCCCGGCCUCCCAAAGUGCUGGGAUUACAAGCGUGAGCCCCCGCGCCCGGCCAGCGAUGCUUACUUUUAUUAGAACACGUUAGCUGGCAUCUGAGUGUCACAGGGAUGCAGCGUGACGGCCACAGCCCGGGUAGCUGGCGUCUGAGUGUCGCAGGGAUUUGGUGUAGCUGGCGUCUGAGUGUCGCAGGGAUGCGGUGUAGCUGGCGUCUGAGUGUCACAGGGAUGCGGUGUAGCUGGCGUCUGAGUGUCACAGGGAUGCGGUGUGACAGCCAUAGCCAGGGCAGCUGGCGUCCUGAGUGUGUUGCAGAGGAUCUGGGUAUGGCUGAAAGUACUGGAGUGUCACAGGGAUCUUGAGUGUAAGC
Molecule: long non-coding RNA, 1034 nt
Filed under: Papio anubis (olive baboon)
Lineage: Eukaryota; Metazoa; Chordata; Mammalia; Primates; Cercopithecidae
Description: lncRNA (ENSPANG00000051224.1)
Source: RNAcentral